UAUAGUGAUAUUAGUUCCACUCGAUGUGGAUCGCGCCCAUGCUUGCUCAGCUCCAGGAUCAGGCUCCUAAACCUAUUUUCAAUAAGUCAGCUGGUCUAUGUUGUUGGAGUUCCGCAUGACGCGUUAAUCCCACCUCUAUGUCUAAGGAAUAGCCUUUUCUUCUUUUCUUUAUUGUUCGUGGGAACAUGUAAGAUUAGCAAUGGAAAUUGA
RNAcentral lists this ribosomal RNA (210 nucleotides) under Triticum aestivum (bread wheat). Its description in RNAcentral is "partial small subunit ribosomal RNA". The record is from RNAcentral. Lineage: Eukaryota; Viridiplantae; Streptophyta; Magnoliopsida; Poales; Poaceae.